GUGCUCACUUCGGCAGCACAUAUACUAAAAUUGGAACGAUACAGAGAAGAUUAGCAUGGCCCCUGCACAAGGAUGACAUGCAAAUUCGUGAAGCAUUCCAUAUUUAA
Myotis lucifugus (little brown bat) is the source of this 107-nucleotide small nuclear RNA. The record is from Ensembl. NCBI's taxonomy places the organism in Eukaryota, Metazoa, Chordata, Mammalia, Chiroptera, Vespertilionidae.